UGUCCGUAGGUGAACCUGCGGAAGGAUCAUUACUGAGUGAGGGCCCUCUGGGUCCAACCUCACACCCGUGUUUAUUGAUCCUUGUUGCUUCGGUGAGCCCGCCUCACGGCCGCCGGGGGGCAUCUGCCCCAGGGCCCGCGAUCUCCGCAGACCCCCUUGAACACUGUCUAAAGUUUGCAGUCAGAGCUAAAACUAACUAAGUUAAAACUUUCAACAACGGAUCUCUUGGUUCCG
RNAcentral lists this unclassified non-coding RNA (234 nucleotides) under plant metagenome. RNAcentral's name for it is "partial contains small subunit ribosomal RNA, internal transcribed spacer 1, and 5.8S ribosomal RNA". The record is from RNAcentral.